This 175-nucleotide ribosomal RNA is filed under the name Amauroascus oblatus. Its description in RNAcentral is "5.8S ribosomal RNA". The stretch from base 1 to 155 matches the Rfam family "5.8S ribosomal RNA". Rfam says of the family: 5.8S ribosomal RNA (5.8S rRNA) is a component of the large subunit of the eukaryotic ribosome. It is transcribed by RNA polymerase I as part of the 45S precursor that also contains 18S and 28S rRNA. The record is from RNAcentral. Lineage: Eukaryota; Fungi; Ascomycota; Eurotiomycetes; Onygenales; Onygenaceae.
AACUUUCAACAACGGAUCUCUUGGUUCCGGCAUCGAUGAAGAACGCCAGCGAAAUGCGAUAAGUAAUGUGAAUUGCAGAAUUCCGUGAAUCAUCGAAUCUUUGAACGCACAUUGCGCCCUCUGGUAUUCCGGAGGGCAUGCCUGUUCGAGCGUCAUUUCAACCCCUUCAAGCCCG